AGUGAACGCUGGCGGUAGGCCUAACACAUGCAAGUCGAACGGCAGCACAGGAGAGCUUGCUCUCUGGGUGGCGAGUGGCGGACGGGUGAGGAAUACAUCGGAAUCUACCUUUUCGUGGGGGAUAACGUAGGGAAACUUACGCUAAUACCGCAUACGACCUUCGGGUGAAAGCAGGGGACCUUCGGGCCUUGCGCGGAUAGAUGAGCCGAUGUCGGAUUAGCUAGUUGGCGGGGUAAAGGCCCACCAAGGCGACGAUCCGUAGCUGGUCUGAGAGGAUGAUCAGCCACACUGGAACUGAGACACGGUCCAGACUCCUACGGGAGGCAGCAGUGGGGAAUAUUGGACAAUGGGCGCAAGCCUGAUCCUGCCAUACCGCGUGGGUGAAGAAGGCCUUCGGGUUGUAAAGCCCUUUUGUUGGGAAAGAAAAGCAGCCAGCUAAUACCUGGUUGUUCUGAUGCUACCCACAGAAGAAGCACCGGCUAACUCCGUGCCAGCCGCCGCAGUAA
Molecule: ribosomal RNA, 506 nt
Filed under: uncultured bacterium
Lineage: Bacteria
Description: partial 16S ribosomal RNA
Rfam family: Bacterial small subunit ribosomal RNA
Source: RNAcentral